Molecule: long non-coding RNA, 275 nt
Organism: Aquila chrysaetos chrysaetos
Lineage: Eukaryota; Metazoa; Chordata; Aves; Accipitriformes; Accipitridae
Exons: 3
Source: RefSeq, a predicted model, not a curated record
CAAACUUUCUGCAUCAGCUCCAACAACAUCUGCAGCCUGCUGCUGGUGGGAUGGGGUGCUCCAGGCUUCAAAAAAUGUGGAGGCAUCUCCCCUAAGUGUCACCCAGCCAUAAGACAGCACAAGCUGUUCCCUGGAGCUUCGUUCCUGUGGAUUAGUUGGAAACCUGGUAAAAGACUUCUCCUUGCCUGCACUUGGAAGCUGCCAGUUUGACAAGCCGCCAGAGCCUGCCUGACAAAAGCAGACCUUUCCACGCUUCCUCCUACAAUUACUUUCCC